This 429-nucleotide ribosomal RNA is filed under the name uncultured bacterium. Its description in RNAcentral is "bacterial SSU rRNA". It matches the Rfam family "Bacterial small subunit ribosomal RNA", at positions 355 to 776 of the family's 1533-position model. The record is from RNAcentral.
UGGGGAAUUUUGCGCAAUGGGCGGAAGCCUGACGCAGCAACGCCGCGUGGAGGAUGAAGGUCUUUGGAUUGUAAACUCCUGUCAGCAGGGAAAAAGGGACUCGACCUCAUACGUCGGGAACUUGAUUGUACCUGCAGAGGAAGCCCCGGCUAACUCUGUGCCAGCAGCCGCGGUAAUACAGAGGGGGCAAGCGUUAUUCGGAAUUAUUGGGCGUAAAGGGCGCGUAGGCGGCUUUGCAAGUGACGGGUGAAAUCCCUCGGCUUAACCGAGGAACUGCCUGUCAGACUGCAUUGCUUGAGUCCGGGAGAGGUGAGUGGAAUUCCCAGUGUAGCGGUGAAAUGCGUAGAUAUUGGGAGGAACACCAGUGGCGAAGGCGGCUCACUGGACCGGAACUGACGCUGAGGCGCGAAAGCGUGGGGAGCAAACAGG